GACGAACGCGGCGGCGUGCUUAACACAUGCAAGUCGAACGAAGAGAAAUGGAAGCUUGCUUCUAUGGAUCUUAGUGGCGAACGGGUGAGUAACGCGUAAUCAACCUGCCCUUCAGAGGGGGACAACAGUUGGAAACGACUGCUAAUACCGCAUACGAUCCAAUCUGGCAUCGAGAGUGGAUGAAAGGUGGCCUCUAUUUAUAAACUAUCACUGAAGGAGGGGAUUGCGUCUGAUUAGCUAGUUGGAGGGGUAACGGCCCACCAAGGCGAUGAUCAGUAGCCGGUCUGAGAGGAUGAACGGCCACUGGGACUGAGACACGGCCCAGACUCCUACGGGAGGCAGCAGUGGGGAAUCUUCCGCAAUGGACGAAAGUCUGACGGAGCAACGCCGCGUGAGUGAUGACGGCCUUCGGGUUGUAAAGCUCUGUUAAUCGGGACGAAUGGUUCUUGUGCGAAUAGUGCGAGGAUUUGACG
This 473-nucleotide ribosomal RNA is filed under the name Veillonella atypica. Its description in RNAcentral is "bacterial SSU rRNA". It matches the Rfam family "Bacterial small subunit ribosomal RNA", at positions 28 to 474 of the family's 1533-position model. Lineage: Bacteria; Bacillati; Bacillota; Negativicutes; Veillonellales; Veillonellaceae. The record is from RNAcentral.